Malania oleifera is the source of this 106-nucleotide small nucleolar RNA. The record is from RefSeq and is a predicted model, not a curated record. Lineage: Eukaryota; Viridiplantae; Streptophyta; Magnoliopsida; Santalales; Ximeniaceae.
AAUUUAUGAUGUGGGCAUUUUCAAAGCAAGUCCCUAAAGCGCUCCUAAGUCUCGAAAAAGAGUUCCUCAUCCAUAUGUGAGAAACUUGUGAUGGCUCUCCAAUGCU